This is a non-coding RNA of Hordeum vulgare subsp. vulgare (domesticated barley), 125 nucleotides long. NCBI's taxonomy places the organism in Eukaryota, Viridiplantae, Streptophyta, Magnoliopsida, Poales, Poaceae. The record is from Rfam.
CUUAUACUCCUUCCGUCCAGAACUACUUAUCGCACAAAUGUAUAAAAAUGGAUGUAUCUAGAAUUAAAAUACAUCCAGAUACAUCCAUUCUUAUGACAAGUAUUUUCAGACGGAAGGAGUACUUC